CGUGCCGAGGUCAACGCGACAGUAUCGAAUAGCGUCGGUGAUGUGGAUCAACAUGUUUUUGAUUGUGAAUCUGUUUCUGUAUCAUUGAUCUUUGCUGUGCAAGGAUCCUUGUGGUAUCAUCUCUGCCUGGCAGUCAUGUGAGAAGACAGGGAUCCCAAGAGUACUAAUAAGUAGAAAUGAAAGGGAGAAUCCCUCGCACAUAAACAGACCCUAAUGAAUCUUGCUAGCCACAAGCUCUAUCAAUGAACUUCUGUGACUUUAGUACAAUGUUGAAUUUUAUAGAACAUUACAUCAAGGACACUGGAAGAUGUUGAAAAAUUGAACCAAGUACUAACYAAUCAGAGUGGACAACAUAUUGCUUGCAGUCUUAUAAUAAUCAAUUAAAAUUACCAGUCCUUCUCCAAUAU
This is a long non-coding RNA of Exaiptasia diaphana, 407 nucleotides long. RefSeq lists it as uncharacterized. The transcript is spliced from 3 exons. Lineage: Eukaryota; Metazoa; Cnidaria; Anthozoa; Actiniaria; Aiptasiidae. The record is from RefSeq and is a predicted model, not a curated record.